AGAGUUUGAUCCUGGCUCAGGACGAACGCUGGCGGCGUGCCUAAUACAUGCAAGUAGAACGCACAGGAUGCACCGUAGUUUACUACACCGUAUUCUGUGAGUUGCGAACGGGUGAGUAACGCGUAGGUAACCUGCCUGGUAGCGGGGGAUAACUAUUGGAAACGAUAGCUAAUACCGCAUAAGAACAUUUACUGCAUGGUAGAUGUUUAAAAGGUGCAAAUGCAUCACUACCAGAUGGACCUGCGUUGUAUUAGCUAGUAGGUGAGGUAACGGCUCACCUAGGCGACGAUACAUAGCCGACCUGAGAGGGUGAUCGGCCACACUGGGACUGAGACACGGCCCAGACUCCUACGGGAGGCAGCAGUGGGGAAUCUUCCGCAAUGGACGAAAGUCUGACGGAGCAACGCCGCGUGAGUGAUGACGGCCUUCGGGUUGUAAAGCUCUGUUAAUCGGGACGAAAGGCCUUCUUGCGAAUAGUGAGAAGGAUUGACGGUACCGGAAUAGAAAGCCACGGCUAACUACGUGCCAGCAGCCGCGGU
This 539-nucleotide ribosomal RNA is filed under the name Streptococcus sp. oral clone 13-27. RNAcentral describes it as "bacterial SSU rRNA". It matches the Rfam family "Bacterial small subunit ribosomal RNA", at positions 8 to 521 of the family's 1533-position model. Lineage: Bacteria; Bacillati; Bacillota; Bacilli; Lactobacillales; Streptococcaceae. The record is from RNAcentral.